Molecule: ribosomal RNA, 327 nt
Filed under: Triticum aestivum (bread wheat)
Lineage: Eukaryota; Viridiplantae; Streptophyta; Magnoliopsida; Poales; Poaceae
Description: partial small subunit ribosomal RNA
Source: RNAcentral
AUGCAUACUGUCAAUUGUGAUGGCCUGGACCAUCAGAGGUUCAACUUUAUAUAUCCAUGCCACAGAAAAAACAGGACAUGUCGCCUGAAUAUGCCUUGGAAGGAGGCAUUUUUCUCUGUCAAGUCCGACACAUAUAGCUAUGGGAUCUUGUUACUGGAGAUUGCCAGGCCACUCAUGUCGAUAGUCGUGUUUAUGCUGGACAAUGAGGCCGUGCCACUCACAACACCAGAGCAGCCUUUGUAUUUUGUUGGAAGGAGGCAUGAAGCGGAAGAAGCAGGGGAGGACUCUGUUAACAACGCAAGCCUGGCGACGCUAGCAGGGCGCUAG